This 347-nucleotide long non-coding RNA is filed under the name Heterocephalus glaber (naked mole-rat). RNAcentral's name for it is "lncRNA (ENSHGLG00000035544.1)". Lineage: Eukaryota; Metazoa; Chordata; Mammalia; Rodentia; Bathyergidae. The record is from RNAcentral.
CAGGCGGACAAAGAGCCCGGCCGACUGCGGGGCGCGCUCCCUCGUGCGGACGACCACGCGGGAUCUGCACGGCAUAGCUUCCCGACGCGGUACCCGGACGCUGCCAUUCCCCACCGGGCCCUGGGGAGCCCAGAGCCGCCCCUGCGCCCUGGGCUGCUUCCGCUGGAUCCCCCCACUCGAGGUGGUCCAGGAACAUCAGCCACACGGGACAUGGCAGCCUGGGGGCCACCGAGGGGCCGACACCGAGGGGACGUGGAACAGCCUGGGAGGUCGCCAGCCCCUGCUAUGGCCUGGUUGCCGUCCAGGGCCCAGGGUAGCACCAGGAGGAGGUGACUGGCAGUUAGGAG